Rosa rugosa (rugosa rose) is the source of this 367-nucleotide long non-coding RNA. RefSeq lists it as uncharacterized. NCBI's taxonomy places the organism in Eukaryota, Viridiplantae, Streptophyta, Magnoliopsida, Rosales, Rosaceae. The record is from RefSeq and is a predicted model, not a curated record. The transcript has 3 exons.
AUCACUUAACCAUUUACCAUGUUUUGAGUCUUUACCUCUCCUUUGUUGCUUCUCUUUCCUUGGCACAGGAGUUAAAGUUGCCACUUAAAUCUGUGAAUCUGGGGAACUAGCUUGUCGUAGAGGGCUGGAUGCUAUUAGAACUCUAAUAAUAUACCCAGGAAACAUUUUUUGGAUGGGACUCGAGUGCAAUUCAAGUCCACAAAAAUUGCAGAAGUAUUUGUCCGUGAAACAAGGUGGUGGUUCCACUAUUCUUGUUGACAAGCUUGAACCCAGUGCUUGGGAAACUUUCAAGCUGUGGAGGAUCAGUCAAUCAUCUUUCAGCUUUAGAACCUAUGAUCAACAUUUUGUGGGAAGGUCAAAGGUUAGC